CGCCUCUUGAAAAAAUAUAAGAGGUCUAGCCUGCCCAGUGACCUAGUUCAACGGCCGCGGUAUCCUAACCGUGCGAAGGUAGCGUAAUCACUUGUUCUUUAAAUGAGGACUAGUAUGAAUGGCAUCACGAGGGUUACACUGUCUCCUUUUUUUAAUCAGUGAAACUAAUCUCCCCGUGAAGAAGCUGGGAUUUAAAUAUAAGACGAGAAGACCCUAUGGAGCUUUAAACUAAUUAACACUUGCUGCAUUUUUCAUUUUUCCAGAACAUCUCUAUUAAGCAUAGCACUAUGAUUUAUAGUUUUAGAUUGGGGUGAUCGCGGAGUAAAAAACAACCUCCACGCCGAAAGGAUCUUUUUUCCUGAGCAAAAAGCUACAACUUUAAGCACUAAAAAAUUAACGUUUAUUGACCCAAUAAUUUUGAUCAACGAACCAAGUUACCCUAGGGAUAACAGCGCAAUCCACUUCAAGAGCUCCUAUCGACAAGUGGGUUUACGACCUCGAUGUUGGAUCAGGGUAUCCCAGUGGUGCAGCCGCUACUAACGGUUCGUUUGUUCAACGAUUAAAACCCUACGUGAUCUGAGU
This 582-nucleotide ribosomal RNA is filed under the name Boana albomarginata (white-banded tree frog). RNAcentral describes it as "partial large subunit ribosomal RNA". It matches the Rfam family "Bacterial large subunit ribosomal RNA", at positions 1819 to 2610 of the family's 2925-position model. Lineage: Eukaryota; Metazoa; Chordata; Amphibia; Anura; Hylidae. The record is from RNAcentral.